CGUAGAUGAUCGGGCACACACACACACACACACACACACACAGCAGCAGCAGAGAACACGAUCAAGGCAGAUAUCGACUAGGUGGGCACACCCUGAUAGGGAACCAUAUAUGAUUUUUCUUGUUCUGCUAAGGGCGUCGUUUACGCUUUUCCGUGUGCCGCUGAGAAGUUUCCCUACCAUCACCACCAGACACAGAGACGCUGUAGAGCGAUAGGACGCAGACGGAUAGAAUGGUGAAAAAGAGUAGUGAUGCGGAGGACGAGCUGGCGCAGCUGCAGGUGCCGGCGCACCCUUUGCCUGGCGCGCGACUUGUGGCCGCGUCGUGCACACCCUCCGACACCGUGAUGGCGUCAGACAGUAGUGGCGGUGCUGCGCAGGCUGCAAAGGUCGGCAAACUGCGAGAGCGCAUCAAACCCUAUCCCGUCGCCGGCAGCAGACCUGGGCACGGCGGCGUACUGGCGGACAUCGAGCGACGACGCGCGCGUGAGGUGCGCCGCACUUUGCGAGUCGCCGAGGCUGCAAAGCGAAGGCAGCAGAACCGCAUCAUUGCCAUGGCGCUUGCGCUCAUCGCAGCGCUUGGCGUGGGCCUCUUGAUAUUUUCGCGGUUUGUGUGAGAUGAAUGGCUUCAGCUCGUUUUGUGCCUCCCUUUCGUGCCUCCCCGGAUCCUUCCGAUGUACGACGCCCGCGUCGUCCAGAGUGCUCUUCGCGGUGCGUGCGUGUGGUUCUCACUAUCGGCUUGCGAACUGCAAGCUAUCGCACAGCGUACGUUUUUUUUUGUUCGAAGUAUGCGUGUACAGCGGCACAUUGCACGGCUUUGACUAUUCACAGAAUCAGUGAACACACGCACAUCCCAUUAGACGUAGAUUGAGGGCGAAGAGGGUUAUGAAGGAAGACAAUAUUAGAUGACGUGCGCGCCAUCCCUCCUCUGUCGCCUUGAGCCCCCUUUCGCACCCUCUUUCUCCUCGGUCAUCUGCGUCUUUUACGACCUUUCUCUUACGCCCCUCCUCCUAUACAUUGACUGGUGCGCCGCUUCCCCUUCUCGCUCGCGCAUGCACCGCUUCUCUGUGGCGAUAGGCCAGCUGCGCAUCAGGCGAUGCGGCGCGGUGACGGUGCCAAACCAAGCAGAGAACGGAGCGCACGAUGGAGCUUCGUUUUGCUGCCUAUCAGAUGCACGCGCCUGCUCUCGCGCCUGUCUGCUUCGCCGCACUCCUCCAUUCUACUUUCUCUCGCCCGGUUUCACUUUCUGCGAAGUCGGCGCAAGGAAACUAGACGGUGCCACCAGAGGUCACUGUGAUGUGACGCUGAAGAUACAGAAAACAAUACUUACCUCAUGUCCUUUCCCACCACGUGUUGUUGGAGCUUGCAGGCCCGCGGCAAGAAGGGCUCUCUGGCUGUUGCCUACUGCCCUUCUCCCUCUCCCUCUUUCGUCCAAUUUCGUGAUUCAGCACUGCUUUGCUGCGCACCUCACCUCAUGCUGCGAGGAGGAGGAGUGAAGGGGAGGACGCGCCUGCAGCGCUUGAUCGGUGUGAACGCAAAAAAAAAACGCCUUUUUCGCCUCUACCUCCUCGCUUCCUUUUUGCGUCCGUGUCUGUUUUCCACCCACGCGCACCGCCUCCAUCCCCCCUCUCCCUACACCUCGGCACGCAUACACAUGCCCGCUCUGCUAUAAG
This 1670-nucleotide unclassified non-coding RNA is filed under the name Leishmania donovani. RNAcentral describes it as "gene:LdHU3.36.5590(CDS-product:hypothetical_prote in)". Lineage: Eukaryota; Euglenozoa; Kinetoplastea; Trypanosomatida; Trypanosomatidae. The record is from RNAcentral.